This is a non-coding RNA of Vibrio mytili, 87 nucleotides long. The record is from Rfam. NCBI's taxonomy places the organism in Bacteria, Pseudomonadati, Pseudomonadota, Gammaproteobacteria, Vibrionales, Vibrionaceae.
CUAAUACAGCAGUAAUGCUGUGUGACGGGCAGUAAGAAGUCAGCAGAAGGCAUAGUCCCUUAAGGAAGUACAACUUAAGGGAAGGCC